RNAcentral lists this ribosomal RNA (925 nucleotides) under Listeria monocytogenes. RNAcentral describes it as "bacterial LSU rRNA". It matches the Rfam family "Bacterial large subunit ribosomal RNA", at positions 607 to 1529 of the family's 2925-position model. The record is from RNAcentral. Lineage: Bacteria; Bacillati; Bacillota; Bacilli; Caryophanales; Listeriaceae. RNAcentral also lists the same sequence under 1 other name.
UUUGUAGAAUGAACCGGCGAGUUACGAUUUGUUGCAAGGUUAAGCGGAAAAAGCGGAGCCGUAGCGAAAGCGAGUCUGAAUAGGGCGCAUAAGUAACAGGUCGUAGACCCGAAACCAGGUGAUCUACCCAUGUCCAGGAUGAAGGUAAGGUAAUACUUACUGGAGGUCCGAACCCACGCACGUUGAAAAGUGCGGGGAUGAGGUGUGGGUAGCGGAGAAAUUCCAAUCGAACUUGGAGAUAGCUGGUUCUCUCCGAAAUAGCUUUAGGGCUAGCCUCGAGGUAAAGAGUCAUGGAGGUAGAGCACUGUUUGGACUAGGGGCCCUUCUCGGGUUACCGAAUUCAGAUAAACUCCGAAUGCCAUGUACUUAUACUCGGGAGUCAGACUGCGAGUGAUAAGAUCCGUAGUCGAAAGGGAAACAGCCCAGACCACCAGUUAAGGUCCCCAAAUAUAUGUUAAGUGGAAAAGGAUGUGGGGUUGCUUAGACAACCAGGAUGUUGGCUUAGAAGCAGCCACCAUUGAAAGAGUGCGUAAUAGCUCACUGGUCGAGUGACCCCGCGCCGAAAAUGUACCGGGGCUAAACAUAUUACCGAAACUGUGGAUGAACCUCUUUAGAGGUUCGUGGUAGGAGAGCGUUCUAAGGGCGGUGAAGUCAGACCGGAAGGACUGGUGGAGCGCUUAGAAGUGAGAAUGCCGGUAUGAGUAGCGAAAGAAGGGUGAGAAUCCCUUCCACCGAAUAUCUAAGGUUUCCUGAGGAAGGCUCGUCCGCUCAGGGUUAGUCGGGACCUAAGCCGAGGCCGAUAGGCGUAGGCGAUGGACAACAGGUAGAGAUUCCUGUACCAGUGCUAAUUGUUUAACCGAUGGGGUGACACAGAAGGAUAGGGAAUCGCACGAAUGGAAAUGUGCGUCCAAGCAGUGAGUGUGAG